Non-coding RNA from Callithrix jacchus (white-tufted-ear marmoset), 45 nucleotides. The record is from Rfam. NCBI's taxonomy places the organism in Eukaryota, Metazoa, Chordata, Mammalia, Primates, Cebidae.
AAAUAGGCUUUAUUAAAAGCUAUUAAUCUGAUCUAAAAUAUUCUA